AGAGUUUGAUCCUGGCUCAGGACGAACGCUGGCGGCGUGCCUUAGACAUGCAAGUCGAGCGAGAACUUCGGUUCUAGCGGCAAACGGCGCAGUAAUACGUAAGCAACGUGCCCCCAAGACUGGGACAGUCCGGGGAAACCCGGUUUAAUACCAGAUGUGGCCGCUCUUCUGCCUGGAAGAGCGAUUAAAGGACUUCGGUCGCUUAGGGAGCGGCUUACGACCUAUCAGGUAGUUGGUGAGGUAACGGCUCACCAAGCCUACGACGGGUAGCGGGUCUGAGAGGAUGAUCCGCGCGAGUGGGACUGAGACACGGCCCACACACCUACGGGUGGCAGCAGUUUGGAAUAUUGCACAAUGGGGGAAACCCUGAUGCAGCGACGCCGCGUGGGGGAUGACGGAUUUCGGUCUGUAAACCCCUUUUGCCAGGAAAGACUUAGGACGGUACCUGGCGAAUAAGCCCCGGCUAACUACGUGCCAGCAGCCGCGGUAAUACGUAGGGGGCGAGCGUUGUCCGGAUUUACUGGGCGUAAAGGGCGCGCAGGCGGCCUGUUAAGUGUGAAGUGAAAUCUCCUGGCUCAACCAGGAAAUUGCUUUGCAUACUGGCAGGCUAGAGAAAGGCAGAGGUAGAUGGAAUUCCCGGUGUAGCGGUGACAUGCGUUGAUAUCGGGAGGAACACCAAUGGCGAAAGCAGUCUACUGGGCCUCUUCUGACGCUCAC
RNAcentral lists this ribosomal RNA (717 nucleotides) under uncultured bacterium. RNAcentral describes it as "bacterial SSU rRNA". It matches the Rfam family "Bacterial small subunit ribosomal RNA", at positions 8 to 750 of the family's 1533-position model. The record is from RNAcentral.